This 253-nucleotide ribosomal RNA is filed under the name uncultured bacterium. RNAcentral describes it as "partial 16S ribosomal RNA". It matches the Rfam family "Bacterial small subunit ribosomal RNA", at positions 524 to 776 of the family's 1533-position model. The record is from RNAcentral.
UACGGAGGGUGCAAACGUUGCUCGGAAUCAUUGGGCGUAAAGCGCGCGUAGGCGGCCCAGCAAGUCGGGUGUGAAAGCCCUCGGCUCAACCGAGGAAGUGCAUCCGAAACUACUGAGCUUGAGUACUGGAGAGGGUGACGGAAUUCCCGGUGUAGAGGUGAAAUUCGUAGAUAUCGGGAGGAACACCAGCGGCGAAGGCGGUCACCUGGACAGAUACUGACGCUGAGGCGCGAAAGCGUGGGGAGCAAACAGG